AACUAAAGGUGAGAGCGUUUACAGAUACAACUGUUAUACAUGCAGUCACUUUCAUCAACCUGCAAUUCACUGUCUUCUCUCUUUUGACUUUUCAGGCAACAAAACACAGACGGACAAAAACAUUGCGGAGCAUGAAGAUGUUGUUGCCUACGCCUCCAUCAGCUACACCAAGAAGGGCAACAGUAGAGCUCAGGCUGAUGGAGAUAAAGAAGGUGAAGGUGUGACGUACAGCACUGUGAAAGUCCCCUCCUCUGACACUGAAGCCUCUGUUCACCCCAGCAGCCCGUACGCCACCGUCAACAAACCAAACAAGAGAGAGACAACAGGAUAGUUACAGCUCAUGUCACUAAUCUUGAUAGACCAAUGAAUGUGACUCCUUCCCCUGCAGCUCUUACAUGUGUCUUUAAUUUAAUCUUCAUUACUCUCUCGUUGUGUUUUGUGCAUUUUGUGGAUACUUUCUCAGAGUUCUUGCAGAGUUUCUACACACAUGUGAACAUCAAAUAGAUGUGUGAAUAGUUAAAAAGUUGAUAAGAUGUAUUCUUUAUUGGUGUAACUUAUCAUUGUAUUACCUGUAUUUGUUUCAUAUGCAAUAAUUUAAGCAUGUAGUUAACUUGGAAAUAAAAGAGGUGGCUGGAGAGGAUGAGAGGAAGUGGUUUGUGACAUCCGUUAUCGACACUGAAGUUAAAAAAAGAGUCACACUAAACUGAAAACUGAGAAAACCA
Molecule: non-coding RNA, 722 nt
Organism: Labrus bergylta (ballan wrasse)
Lineage: Eukaryota; Metazoa; Chordata; Actinopteri; Labriformes; Labridae
Source: RefSeq, a predicted model, not a curated record